RNAcentral lists this ribosomal RNA (497 nucleotides) under uncultured bacterium. RNAcentral's name for it is "partial 16S ribosomal RNA". It matches the Rfam family "Bacterial small subunit ribosomal RNA", at positions 28 to 507 of the family's 1533-position model. The record is from RNAcentral.
GAUGAACGCUGGCGGCGUGCCUAAUACAUGCAAGUCGAGCGAACGGACGAGAAGCUUGCUUUUCUGAUGUUAGCGGCGGACGGGUGAGUAACACGUGGAUAACCUACCUAUAAGACUGGGAUAACUUCGGGAAACCGGAGCUAAUACCGGAUAAUAUCUUGAACCGCAUGGUUCAAAAGGGAAAGACGGUCUUGCUGUCACUUAUAGAUGGAUCCGGGCUGCAUUAGCUAGUUGGUAAGGUAACGGCUUACCAAGGCAACGAUGGAUAGCCGACCUGAGAGGGUGAUCGGCGACACUGGAACUGAGACACGGUCCAGACUCCUACGGGAGGCAGCAGUAGGGAAUCUUCCGCGAAGGGCGAAAGCCUGACGGAGCAACGCCGCGUGAGUGAUGAAGGUCUUCGGAUCGUAAAACUCUGUUAUUAGGGAAGAACAUAUGUGUAAGUAACUGUGCACAUCUUGACGGUACCUAAUCAGAAAGCCACGGCUAACUACGUG